This is a non-coding RNA of Mycena rebaudengoi, 89 nucleotides long. The record is from the annotation of a GenBank genome assembly. NCBI's taxonomy places the organism in Eukaryota, Fungi, Basidiomycota, Agaricomycetes, Agaricales, Mycenaceae.
GACCCAGUGGUGCAAUGUUUAGCAUGUCUGCACAGGAUUGGAAGUUUGAGAGGAUUCCGCAGGUCCCCGUUUGACCCGGGGCUGGGUCA